CCCUCCACCCCCCCACCUGACCCGCAACCCUAGGAGCCAUGGGGACCAGCCUGCCGGAUGCUUCCCGGGACAGGAGCCACCUCAGCAAGCAGUAUUUCCUCUCGAUGGUGACUGGAUCAUUGGGCUGAAGUGGCUCAGCGGCAUUAGAUACAUGCUAUUUCAAGCUGGGAAGAUGGAGAGAGAAGCCUUUGGAAAGCUGAAUGUGGCAUGAAAAGGAAGAACCCUCUCUGCUUAAAAGAAGGAAGUUUUUGACAUCUGAACAUCUAUAACAUAUAGAGCAGGUACCCUGGAAACUCAGCAAGCAGUUGGAACAGUAACUAGAAGGCUGGACUGCAAACGCAUCUACUUGGGGAGUUGUUCCCAGUGUAUCGAGUGUGUGUGUGUGAGUGUGAUGCACACAUUAACUACAUUACACUACAUAUAUGCAGCAGAUACGCCAACUACUUGGUGAGUUUCCAGCGUAUGUAUGUAAGUCUAACUUGGGAAAACAGCACAACAAACCUAGAUAAACAGGUCAAAGAGCAAAAUGAAAAUGAGGAACAUCUCGAAGACAUUGAAGAAACUGAAGUGCCAGUAGUCUGGGUCCAUAUUUUAAAGAACAACAUUGUUAGCAAAGAAGCUGAAGAGAUGAUCUGAGGCCCAUGGUCAACCUUGGACAGAUAACAUCAGAGGUUAGAGAGAGACUUUUCUCCUCAAAGGACCUGAUCAAGGCAGUUAAUAAUAAACUUAAGUCUGAAUUUAUUUAUAUUUUGUAAAAUUGAACAGUGAGCAAGCAUCUUUUCCCAGGCAGAGCCCCUGCUUGCCAAGAUUCAGCACAGAAAGUACUUUUUAUAGUCUAGUUGGAGAUGCUGCAACUCACUAUAAUGGGCUUUGCACUUUUAUAACCAUCUCUUAAUUAAUGCGACAUCUUAGGCAAGUUAGUAUUUCCCUCUUUAAAUGAUGCUAUUCAGCUUGUUCUCCCUCAAUCACUAUUUGGGUUUGCAGAGGUACUGCCAAGAUCAAACGCAAACUUAAUAGUUGGAUGGGAUUAUUUUUUUAAAAUCCUUCCAUAUUUUCUGAUGAUAAUACCAUGCUAAGCAAAUAGCCACACACCAAGCCAACCCUUGCUGCGCUUACUCAAAUAAUACCACUGACCACAGCAUCUCCUCCAUUGGCUUUGGUGGGAUUAAUCACAGGACUUGGCCCAAUGUAUUUAAACUCCCACAAUCACUACCAUACUUUACCACCUCCCUACACCCACAGACUGAGUGAGACCUAUUCACUGCUGAGUAUAACAUCCCAUUUUAUAAACUCCUGUGUAAGUGUGUGUCAUGCAUGCACACAUGGAGAGUUCAUUGCAGUAUAAUCUCCAAUUACUUGGUUCAAGUUCUGAUGAUAUUUCUGCAGCUCUUGUGCCUUCCUUAGACAAAGUUGGGAAGAAGGAUUGAUGAAGACAUGAGACUGGGAGAUCAGGGUUCUAUUCCUGCUUUGUACUUCCUCUGUGACCUUAGUCAAGUCACUACCUCUGUGUACUGUAGUUUCCUAAUGUGUAAAAUGUGGCUAAUACUAAUUCCCUUCCUCAUAUUGAGGAUUAAUUGCUUAUCAAGAAAUUUAAUAUAAUCAUAUAGAAGGCACCAUAUUCAUUCAAAAUACUGUUGGUAAACAAGAUUCAGAGCUCACAUGUAAAUAGCUGCAAUGCUAUUUCAAACAUAUCAAUAAUAUUGUAAUUUUACACUAAGGAGAACAUCU
Molecule: long non-coding RNA, 1728 nt
Organism: Terrapene triunguis (Three-toed box turtle)
Lineage: Eukaryota; Metazoa; Chordata; Testudines; Emydidae
Exons: 3
Source: RefSeq, a predicted model, not a curated record